RNAcentral lists this ribosomal RNA (207 nucleotides) under uncultured bacterium. RNAcentral describes it as "partial 16S ribosomal RNA". It matches the Rfam family "Bacterial small subunit ribosomal RNA", at positions 568 to 774 of the family's 1533-position model. The record is from RNAcentral.
UGCGCAGGUGGGUUGGCAAGUUUGAUGUGAAAGCCCCGGGCUUAACCCGGGAACGGCAUUGAAUACUGCUGAUCUGGAGGGUUGGAGGGGGGACUGGAAUUCUUGGUGUAGCAGUGAAAUGCGUAGAUAUCAAGAGGAACACCAGUGGCGAAGGCGAGUCCCUGGACAAUACCUGACACUGAGGCACGAAAGCCGGGGGAGCAAACA